GAUGAACGCUGGCGGCGUGCCUAAUACAUGCAAGUCGAGCGAACAGACGAGGAGCUUGCUCCUCUGACGUUAGCGGCGGACGGGUGAGUAACACGUGGAUAACCUACCUAUAAGACUGGGAUAACUUCGGGAAACCGGAGCUAAUACCGGAUAAUAUAUUGAACCGCAUGGUUCAAUAGUGAAAGACGGUUUUGCUGUCACUUAUAGAUGGAUCCGCGCCGCAUUAGCUAGUUGGUAAGGUAACGGCUUACCAAGGCAACGAUGCGUAGCCGACCUGAGAGGGUGAUCGGCCACACUGGAACUGAGACACGGUCCAGACUCCUACGGGAGGCAGCAGUAGGGAAUCUUCCGCAAUGGGCGAAAGCCUGACGGAGCAACGCCGCGUGAGUGAUGAAGGUCUUCGGAUCGUAAAACUCUGUUAUUAGGGAAGAACAAAUGUGUAAGUAACUAUGCACGUCUUGACGGUACCUAAUCAGAAAGCCACGGCUAACUACGUGCCAGCAGCCGCGGUAAUACGUAGGUGGCAAGCGUUAUCCGGAAUUAUUGGGCGUAAAGCGCGCGUAGGCGGUUUUUUAAGUCUGAUGCGAAAGCCCACGGCUCAACCGUGGAGGGUCAUUGGAAACUGGAAAACUUGAGUGCAGAAGAGGAAAGUGGAAUUCCAUGUGUAGCGGUGAAAUGCGCAGAGAUAUGGAGGAACACCAGUGGCGAAGGCGACUUUCUGGUCUGUAACUGACGCUGAUGUGCGAAAGCGUGGGGAUCAAACAGGAUUAGAUACCCUGGUAGUCCACGCCGUAAACGAUGAGUGCUAAGUGUUAGGGGGUUUCCGCCCCUUAGUGCUGCAGCUAACGCAUUAAGCACUCCGCCUGGGGAGUACGACCGCAAGGUUGAAACUCAAAGGAAUUGACGGGGACCCGCACAAGCGGUGGAGCAUGUGGUUUAAUUCGAAGCAACGCGAAGAACCUUACCAAAUCUUGACAUCCUCUGACCCCUCUAGAGAUAGAGUUUUCCCCUUCGGGGGACAGAGUGACAGGGGGUGCAUGGUUGUCGUCAGCUCGUGUCGUGAGAUGUUGGGUUUAAUCCCGCAACCAAGCGCAACCCUUAACUUAAUUGCCAUCCUUAAAUUGGGCACCCCUAAUUGACCGCCCGUGACAAACCCGAGGAAAGGGGGGGAUGACCCUCAAUCAUCCUGCCCCUUAUGAAUUGGGCCACACACGUGCCUCCAAGGGAAAAUACAAAGGGGCUCCAAACCCCCGAGGGUCAAGCAAAAUCCCAUAAAGUUGUUCUCCAUUUCCGAUUGGAGUCCGCCACCCCCCUUAUAUUAAGAUGG
RNAcentral lists this ribosomal RNA (1327 nucleotides) under uncultured bacterium. Its description in RNAcentral is "bacterial SSU rRNA". It matches the Rfam family "Bacterial small subunit ribosomal RNA", at positions 28 to 1329 of the family's 1533-position model. The record is from RNAcentral.